CUUGUAGCUGUAUGGCAUGGGAGCAUUCUGCAACAAAGUUUCUGACUAGUUCAAUCUGUUUACUUCUAAUUGCCCUGUGAAGAGUUAGGAUUUUUAUUUUUUGAAUUAUUUCUGUACAUAUUAACUGUUUGCAUUAUGAGCCAAAUGUGCUCCAAUCUGUAGGUUGUGCUGUGGCUGACAAACAUCAUCACUUGGUUCAUUGUGUUGGAUACUUGACACCUUAACAGGGAGUUGUUUGAGAGUUCACGCGUAGUUUUCCUAGUCGAAGGCUACUGUUGCUUCAGAUGUUGUAUUCCUACUUAUUGUGUAGCUUAAGAAAUGCUUCCCUUGUUGAACAACUAGAAACUUAGGAUUUGCUAAUUUUGUGUGCUUGCCAAAAUUAUGUGUACAUGUCUGUAUUACCGUUGGCACUGCAGAAGUCAUGGUUGAAUUAUGGCGCAAAACAACUAUAGAUAUGAUGCAGAUUCAUUUAUUCUCACAUUGACAUUGUGCUUUGGCACUGGAUGCCCCAAAAUCUUUGCCUUAUGUUGAGGGUGGGAUGUGGGAUCAGACUAGGCAAGUAAAUCUAUUGGCCCCCAAAGGAAUAUGCUGUGAAAAUUUUUUAUGCAUGCGGAAGCAAGGGGCUGAUUU
RNAcentral lists this unclassified non-coding RNA (630 nucleotides) under Hevea brasiliensis (rubber tree). The record is from RNAcentral. Lineage: Eukaryota; Viridiplantae; Streptophyta; Magnoliopsida; Malpighiales; Euphorbiaceae.